Molecule: ribosomal RNA, 761 nt
Filed under: uncultured bacterium
Lineage: Bacteria
Description: bacterial SSU rRNA
Rfam family: Bacterial small subunit ribosomal RNA
Source: RNAcentral
AUUGAACGCUGGCGGCAGGCUUAACACAUGCAAGUCGGACGGUAACAGGGAGGAAGCUUGCUUUCUUUGCUGACGAGUGGCGGACGGGUGAGUAAUGCUUGGGAAUCUGUUUUAUGGAGGGGGAUAACUACGGGAAACUGUAGCUAAUACCGCGUAAUAUCGAGAGAUUAAAGUGUGGGACCGUAAGGCCACAUGCCAUAGAGUGAGCCCAAGUGGGAUUAGGUAGUUGGUGGGGUAAAGGCCUACCAAGCCGUCGAUCUCUAGCUGGUCUGAGAGGAUGACCAGCCACACUGGGACUGAGACACGGCCCAGACUCCUACGGGAGGCAGCAGUGGGGAAUAUUGCACAAUGGGCGCAAGCCUGAUGCAGCCAUGCCGCGUGAAUGAAGAAGGCCUUCGGGUUGUAAAGUUCUUUCGGUGGUGAGGAAGGUUGUAAUGUUAAUAGCAUUAUAAUUUGACGUUAGCCACAGAAGAAGCACCGGCUAACUCCGUGCCAGCAGCCGCGGUAAUACGGAGGGUGCGAGCGUUAAUCGGAAUAACUGGGCGUAAAGGGCACGCAGGCGGAUACUUAAGUGAGGUGUGAAAGCCCUGGGCUUAACCUAGGAAUUGCAUUUCAUACUGGGUAUCUAGAGUAUUUUAGGGAGGGGUAGAAUUCCACGUGUAGCGGUGAAAUGCGUAGGGAUGUGGAGGAAUACCGAAGGCGAAGGCAGCCCCUUGGGGGAAUACUGACGCUCAUGUGCGAAAGCGUGGGGAGCAAACAGG